RNAcentral lists this ribosomal RNA (492 nucleotides) under uncultured bacterium. Its description in RNAcentral is "partial 16S ribosomal RNA". It matches the Rfam family "Bacterial small subunit ribosomal RNA", at positions 28 to 507 of the family's 1533-position model. The record is from RNAcentral.
GAUGAACGCUAGCUACAGGCCUAAUACAUGCAAGUCGAGGGGAAACGCCAUCGGAAGCUUGCUUUUGCUGGGCGUCGACCGGCGCACGGGUGAGUAACGCGUCUCCCAUCUGCCCAUCACUUGGGAAUAACCUUGCGAAAGUAAUACUAAUACCCAAUGAUAUCCCACGAAGGCAUCGGAAUGGGAUUAAUGUUUUAUCGCUUAUGGAUGGGGAUGCGUCUGAUUAGCUUGUUGGCGAGGUAACGGCUCACCAAGGCAACGAUCAGUAGGGGUCCUGAGAGGAGGGUCCACCAGAUUGGAACUAAGGUACAGACCACACUGCUAGGGGGGGGAGCGGAAAGGUAUAUAAGUGGAUAAAGGAGGGCGUGAACCAGCCGAGUAGCGUGCGAGAAGACGGGCAUAUGGAUAGUAUGCUACUUUUAAAAGAGAAAAAAGUAAGUAACGUGUGACUUUUUGCAUGUACCUAAUGAAUAAGGACCGGCUAAUUCCGUG